Molecule: long non-coding RNA, 253 nt
Filed under: Mytilus galloprovincialis (Mediterranean mussel)
Lineage: Eukaryota; Metazoa; Mollusca; Bivalvia; Mytilida; Mytilidae
Source: RNAcentral
GAGGUUUUGGAAUUUUAGUCAGAUGUUCGUACACCUUUUUUUUUUCAUACAAGGUAAACUAGUUUGCUCCAUAACACCCUUUUAUCUUUUCUUAUUAGACUUAAUAGCUAAUAAAAGAUCAUUUGCCAAAAUUGAAGCAGAUUCUUGAUUUCUAUUCUUUUGAUUUGAGACCAAAAUGAUGCCAAUGAAAAUAUACGGUAAAAGUCCGAGUCAGCCUUUCCCCGUCAUAUUCUAAAAAUUAAAUAUCUCGAAA